AAUCUGCAGGCAACAGGACCCCUCCAGCGACAGACUGGUCUCGGCGAAAAGGCCAGACUUCUCCUCCACGGGGACUGUCCGGCUAUAUCUUAUCAUAAAUAAAAACCAGUGUACGGUUUAACAUAAUUAUAGUAUCCAAGACUGAUAUCAAAACCGAGCCUCCCAAUGACCAAUGAGGAGAAUGAGGAGCCUUCCAACGACCAAUGAACCAGUGAGGAGAGGUACUGACGUGCAUAUUCCCCGCAUAUUGUGACCCGCAAUGCACCUAUUCCUUUCAACUUUUUUAACGGCAUAGCUAUUCUGCCAAGUCCCCCAGAAUACAUAUAAUCUCAUCAUACAUUGCUACUGUUUUAAAUUUAACAUAUAAC
Molecule: unclassified non-coding RNA, 368 nt
Filed under: Melitaea cinxia (Glanville fritillary)
Lineage: Eukaryota; Metazoa; Arthropoda; Insecta; Lepidoptera; Nymphalidae
Description: misc RNA ENSMCXG00005019149.1
Source: RNAcentral